CCAAAUUCAAUAUCACCUAAAUAAAUCAAAAAAACCCAAGAUAAAUCCAAAAAUCAAAUUUCCUCCUAAAAUUCAAUACCACAUCUUCAAGGAAUCAAAGCACCAGUGCAUCAAAGUACCGUAGCAUCAAAGCUCCUCUCCAUCAAAUCACUAGUGCUCCUCUCCAUCUGGUCUUCAAUCUUUGUGAAGCUUGGUUUCGAUAUGCUUUAGAUCUCGCGCGUUUUGGAGAUCGAGGGAUUGGCUCCUUUCUUAACCAGAGUUACAUUUUGGUAAGUGACCAGGAAGAUGAAAUUUCCGACAAUGGAGGGUUGGCGAUGGAGGCGGGUGACAGAGAGCUAAGAUAAUGUCGCCCCAUUUGUUCUUUGACUUCUUUCUACGCUUUCCCAGAGUGAAGCCCGGGGUGGUGUUUUGCGGCUAAUUGUUGGUGGGGGACGAGCAGCUGAAAGUGCUGAUUCAAGAGGAGCUUUCGUUGUUGACUCGUUGGUGUUUGAACUCUCGGUGACGGAGGUCGUGUUGGCAACUUCACAAGGGAACAUAGCCUGACAAGCAAGAGUGUUCCAUCUCCGAUAUUGGUUAGCUGCUCUCAAGUUGAUGUUGAUCUCCUAGCUACUUCUUCCUUUCUCCGGUGUGACUGAAACCUAUUCUCCGGUUUUACUUUGCACUCUUAGCACUAUCCAAACAACCGAAAUCGUCAUUGAACAGAAUGCGGUAGCAGAAAUGUACUGGACUCUCGUUUCUGUUUUUCUUUGUCCCAUGUUAUACUUCAGGCAAUGAAGAGGUCAAUGCCGUGGGUUCAGAUGUUGAAGGAGAUGAUGACA
Long non-coding RNA from Tripterygium wilfordii, 818 nucleotides. RefSeq lists it as uncharacterized. NCBI's taxonomy places the organism in Eukaryota, Viridiplantae, Streptophyta, Magnoliopsida, Celastrales, Celastraceae. The record is from RefSeq and is a predicted model, not a curated record. The transcript has 5 exons.